Molecule: ribosomal RNA, 433 nt
Filed under: uncultured bacterium
Lineage: Bacteria
Description: partial 16S ribosomal RNA
Rfam family: Bacterial small subunit ribosomal RNA
Source: RNAcentral
AACGAACGCUGGCGGCAUGCCUAACACAUGCAAGUCGAACGAGACCUUCGGGUCUAGUGGCGCACGGGUGCGUAACGCGUGGGAACCUGCCCUUAGGUUCGGAAUAACUCCCCGAAAGGGGUGCUAAUACCGGAUAAUGUCUUCGGACCAAAGAUUUAUCGCCUUUGGAGGGGCCCGCGUUGGUUUAGCUAGUUGGUAGGGUAAAAGCCUACCAAGGCGACGAUCCAUAGCUGGUCUGAGAGGAUGAGCAGCCACACUGGGACUGAGACACGGCCCAGACUCCUACGGGAGGCAGCAGUGGGGAAUAUUGGACAAUGGGCGAAAGCCUGAUCCAGCAAGGCCGCGUGAGUGAUGAAGGCCUUAGGGUUGUAAAGCUCUUUUACCCGGGAUGAUAAUGACAGUACCGGGAGAAUAAGCUCCGGCUAACUCCGUG